This 502-nucleotide ribosomal RNA is filed under the name uncultured bacterium. Its description in RNAcentral is "bacterial SSU rRNA". It matches the Rfam family "Bacterial small subunit ribosomal RNA", at positions 28 to 533 of the family's 1533-position model. The record is from RNAcentral.
GAUGAACGUUGGCGGCGUGCCUAAUACAUGCAAGUCGAACGGAGAAUUUGAUGUAGCAAUACAUUGAAUUUCUUAGUGGCGAACGGGUGAGUAACGCGUUGGUGACCUACCCCAAAGAGCGGGAUAACGGUUUGAAAAGACCGCUAAUACCUCAUGUGAUCAUAUGGAUUAGAAGCCUAAUGAUUAAAGGAGCUUGCUCCGCUUUGGGAGGGGCCAGCGUACCAUCAGCUGGUUGGUAAGGUAACGGCUUACCAAGGCGACGACGGGUAGCCGGUCUGAGAGGACGAUCGGCCACACUGGGACUGAGAUACGGCCCAGACUCCUACGGGAGGCAGCAGUUGGGAAUCUUAGGCAAUGGGCGAAAGCCUGACCUAGCGACGCCGCGUGAGGGGAAAAGGCCUUCGGGUCGUAAACCUCUGUCAUGGGGGACGAAGAAAGUGACGGUACCCCAGGAGGAAGCCCCUGCUAACUACGUGCCAGCAGCCGCGGUAAAUCACGUGUA